Naja naja (Indian cobra) is the source of this 1880-nucleotide long non-coding RNA. The record is from Ensembl. Lineage: Eukaryota; Metazoa; Chordata; Lepidosauria; Squamata; Elapidae.
UACUGUGAGGGUUUCUGAGGGUUUUAACUCCCGGCGCCUCUCGCUGCACAGCCUUUUAACACCAGAAGUCGUUCUUUAGCAAACUACCUAGCUACUGAACGUGGCACGCAGACCGUCCACGAACAAAGUAGUUCCCAGAGAACACCCGGUGAGCAGACUUUCGCACGGAACGUUGUUCCGCCACCAUGAGAACGCAGCCUCCGCUUCCCGUCUCAUCCUGCACCUCCGACACUCCGAGGCAUUGACUCUGCCCACGCGCAGCUCCGCACGGUCACUCCAGCAUCCCCUACCGACUGCAACAAUGCAAAGAGCUCGGGUCGGGAGUGGGCUGCACUAGGCGCCUCCCCGACUCGCCCCGGGAACAGCAGCCAGCCAGGCGGACGGACGGACGAACGGGCCGGCCCCGCCGCACGCACAAAGCCUCGGGUCGCACCUACCAGGCGGGCAGCCUCGGCCCAGUUCCAGGUCCGGUUCCAGGUGGGGGCGAGGCCCCCUCAACAAGAAAUGUCGGGUGCUCUUCCAUCGCAUUGGUCUCCAACAAACCCAAGGCAGCCGGCCAAUACAAGUUUGAAUCACGUCUUCUAUCUGCUAUGGCUCCCUUGUAUGGAAGGGCAAGGUGACAUCAUGACUGUGGACCAGGUCAAGGUCCCUGUUGCUGUGAAUUUGUUGAAGAGACAUUACAUUCAGCAUUUUUUAUUUAAUCAGUAUUCUAAAUAUUAAUUAGUUAAGCAAUCUAGUUAAUGAACUAAAUAGUACAUUAUUUUGGAGAUACCAUAAUUGCAUUAUGGUCAAGGUUGGUUUAGUAGUGUACAACUGUAAGAUUACUUAAGAUAUCAACAAAUAGAAGAAAAUAGAAUGUCAUUCCUAUUGCUACAAAAAAGGAAAUUCCUAGUCUUAAUAUUUCUGGAUUUUCUUAUAUAUUCCUACUGCUGACAACAUUGCUGCUUUCUUUUCUUUCUUUUUCAUAAUCCCUUGGGAUAAUUGUAUAAUUAUUUUGCACAUAAUUAUUGUUGUGCAAAAUAUUUACACAUAGACUAAUUUGGACUAUAAGUCUUCUGAGGUUUCCAACUGAUAUUAAUCCAAAGUUUUAGUUUAAAUAAAGCAAGAAAUUGUACCUUAAGCCAUAUGAGGUAAUUUGUGAAUAAACUAAUAUGUGAUAAUAGAGAGGAGUUUUUAAAUCUGACAGUCCAUCCACCUUAAUAAACCAUUAAGUUACAGGAAUUAGUGUACGAAUUAGUGUAUCAAAACCAAAAUGAGAAAUAUUUGUAGUUAUAUCUUAUCAUUACAGCACAACUAAUGUAUUUAGUGUAUUGCCUGCAUAGGUUUUUCUUUUAAGUAAUUUUUAUUUUGUAAUUGUUUUCAAUAUUAUAUCUAUUUUGCAUCUUUUGUAUUUUAUGAUUUAAAUCCUCAUAGGGCUUAUUGUUAAUAGGUAUGAUAAAAGUGUUGAACAUAACAAACAAAUUAAGUAUUUUUAAACUAUUACUUCAAUGUAUUUGUCGAUAACGAUUUAUAUCAGCAAUAAUGAUACUUUUAAAAGUAAGAAGCAAUGAUCUAACAUUCAUUGCUUCUAUUAUAUAAUUCUUUUCCUAAAAUUCUGAGAUUACAAAAGUAUAAGAAGAAAACUGUAAGGUAUUUUGUAAGAAGGUAUACAUCAGGUAGUAAAGGUUUGUAGGCUGUAGGUUGUAUAGGUCCAAACAACUGUUCAUUAGGUUACUCAGGCAAUAGAGGGAGAUGAGAUUAUCCAUUAAAAAUAUAUUACUUUUACAACUCCUGGCUUUGUCUUGUCUACUCAUUUGUAUUUCAGAAUUAUUUUUUCUGCUGUUUUCAGCAAUAAUGCCACCAUUAUUUGUGCUAACUCAUAACUAUUAAAAACCAGAAGA